CAAUAGCGUAUACUAAUGUUGUUGCAGUUAAAAAGCUCGUAGUUGAACUUCUGGUAGGAGUGUCCCGGCCUUUUUGUUUUUACAAAUUGUAUGCUGUGUGACAUCUCUGGCCAUCCUUCUUCUUUGUUUAAAGAAGAUCUUUCACUGUAAAAAAAUUAGGGUGCUCAAAGCAAAAGUUUCUUUGGAAUAUAUUAGUAUGGGAUGAUAAGAUAGGCUCUAGAUGCUAUUUUGUUGGUUUGCACAUUUAGAGAAUGAUUAACAGGGACAGUUGGGGGUAUUCGUAUUUACAUGUCAGAGGUGAAAUUCUUGGAUUUUGGAAAGACGAACUACUGCGAAAGCAUUUACCAAGGAUGUUUUCAUUAA
This 363-nucleotide ribosomal RNA is filed under the name uncultured eukaryote. Its description in RNAcentral is "partial 18S ribosomal RNA". It matches the Rfam family "Eukaryotic small subunit ribosomal RNA", at positions 592 to 976 of the family's 1831-position model. The record is from RNAcentral.